Molecule: ribosomal RNA, 439 nt
Filed under: uncultured bacterium
Lineage: Bacteria
Description: partial 16S ribosomal RNA
Rfam family: Bacterial small subunit ribosomal RNA
Source: RNAcentral
CUACGGGGCGCACCAGUGAGGAAUAUUGGACAAUGGGGGAAACCCUGAUCCAGCCAUGCCGCGUGAGUGAAGAAGGCCUUAGGGUUGUAAAGCUCUUUCAAUGGUGAAGAUAAUGACGGUAGCCAUACAAGAAGCCCCGGCUAAAUUCGUGCCAGCAGCCGCGGUAAUACGAAUGGGGCAAGCGUUGUUCGGAAUCACUGGGCUUAAAGCGUGCGUAGGCGGAUUUGCAAGUCAGACGUGAAAUCCCGGGGCUCAACCCCGGAACUGCGUUGGAAACUGCAAAUCUAGAAACCGGUAGGGGGUAAUGGAAUUCCAGGUGGAGAGGUGAAAUUCGCAGAUAUUUGGAGGAACACCAGUGGCGUAGGCGAUUAGCUGGGCCGGUAUUGACGCUGAGGUACGAAAGCGUGGGGAGCAAACAGGAUUAGAUACCCGGGUAGUC